This is a non-coding RNA of Brassica napus (rape), 103 nucleotides long. The record is from Rfam. NCBI's taxonomy places the organism in Eukaryota, Viridiplantae, Streptophyta, Magnoliopsida, Brassicales, Brassicaceae.
GUUCCUUUGGGGACAUCCAAUAAAAUUGGAACGAUACAUAGAAGAUUAGCAUGGUCCCUGCGCAAAGAUGACACGCACAAAUCGAGAAAUAGUUCAAAUUUCU